Molecule: ribosomal RNA, 433 nt
Filed under: uncultured bacterium
Lineage: Bacteria
Description: partial 16S ribosomal RNA
Rfam family: Bacterial small subunit ribosomal RNA
Source: RNAcentral
AAUGAACGCUGGCGGCAUGCCUAACACAUGCAAGUCGAACGAAGGCUUCGGCCUUAGUGGCGCACGGGUGCGUAACGCGUGGGAAUCUGCCCUUGGGUUCGGAAUAACAGUUAGAAAUGACUGCUAAUACCGGAUGAUGUCGUAAGACCAAAGAUUUAUCGCCCAAGGAUGAGCCCGCGUAGGAUUAGCUAGUUGGUGGGGUAAAGGCCUACCAAGGCGACGAUCCUUAGCUGGUCUGAGAGGAUGAUCAGCCACACUGGGACUGAGACACGGCCCAGACUACUACGGGAGGCAGCAGUGGGGAAUAUUGGAAAAUGGGCGAAAGCCUGAUCAAGCAAUGCCGCGUGAGUGAUGAAGGCCUUAGGGUUGUAAAGCUCUUUUACCCGGGAUGAUAAUGACAGUACCGGGAGAAUAAGCACCGGCUAACUUCGUG